CGGGGAGCUAGCGACUCGCUGGGCUUCAGGUGAUGCGCUUCUGGAGGCUGCUGGCGGAGAGCUGUUUUUGAUUGUGGGUUUCCCUGAUGCCCUUCCUUCCUCUGUGAUAUAAGAAACAACUGGGAAGGUAGGUGUGCCCUUUUCAACAAAGACGCUGGCAAUAAGAGAAAAUCAUUGAACAGAAACAACGCGUGCAAAACAGACAGGCAGAACCUCGUCCAGACCUUCGCCAAAAAUUCUUGCUGAAUCCAUUCAAUGCAAAGGAAGUCACAACAAUUGCAGGAAGACUUUGCCAAUGUGUGAAUCUCAUCAGUAGAGACCUGGGAAACAUCACCGGCAUGCGCUCCUCCUCAGAAACACCGCGCAUGUGCGUAUUUGGUGAGAAUGGUAGAAUAGGGUAGCUAGGCACCCUGGGAAGGUUAUUAUCAUUUAUGAAUGGGAUGGCCUUUGAUUUCAAGAAAUGAAAUAGAAAUUACAAAUGGUAAUGGAUUUUUAUAGCCUUUUAAUAAGAUGCUUUUACAAGACUGGUAAUUGUGCUUCUCUAUUUGCUUUCAACGGCCACCCUUUGAGAUCGAAUUCAAAUGACCUCUUGGCUGAUUGGGCAGAAGGUAACAUUUUCAACUUGACUUGUACAAAGGUGUACAAUUAGCUAUUUUUCCAUGUUCAGCAUAAAUGAACCGUGGCGUGACACGGCUGCUGUGUGGGAGAUAGAAUAGUCUGUUGUGAUGUGUACUGAGUAACAGGCACCAAAGGGUAAGGAGAAACCCCAGUCCUGCCUUCUCUGUAGACAGGAUCUGAGGCCAUGUCUUUACGUGUGCCACAGAAUACAGAGCUGAGCUAAUUUCUCAGAUAAUUUGAAUCAGCUGCUGCUGCUUCUAGGGAAGGAAAAGUGAGCUGGACAGACAUGGCCACUAAGGGAAGCACCAGAAAAAAAACACAAAGAACCACCUACAGGUUUUCAUCCUAUUAUUCUAGAAAAAUAUGCCUCGGGAUGAAUGAAUCUGAAGAUGAUUGCUUUGAAAUCAGUCUGCCUGGGCUUCUUCUGUUUUGUAAACUGUGCUUAUUUAAAUUGAACACAAUUCUAUUUUGUGUGUGUAUGGUUUAAAAAAAUUUUUUUUUUUUAGGGAAUCAUACAUAUUGAUACCAACUCAAAAGUUAUGGGGAUGACAAUAUAAACUUUAAAACAACUGGAGUGUCCUUUUAAGUGGCUUUAGUAGGACUAGCUGGGAGUUGCUGUGAGGUACCUGAAUCCUGCCUCUACUACUUACUAGACCCUGGGCAAGGCAAACUUGCCCAACACCAUGUUUCUGAGCAACUGGUUUAUCGUGAGAAUCACAGGACAUUGAAGGCAGAUUUAAGACGCACAUCUGUGCACAUAUCUGUAUCUAUUUAUGAGUAUGUAUUUGACUGUGCUAAUUUUAAAACAUUACUCUAGAUUCGUCAGUUAUGUUCCCUCUGACAGUCGAGAACAACUGUUCCAUUGACAAUGGGCUUGGUUGGACCACCCACAUCAGCACAGAGGAUGCGAUGUCACUCAACUUCUGCCUCCUUCACUGAGACAUUCUCCAUUGAAGCCUGAGUCACUGUGCAAAAGCUUGACUUCCCAGGGGUUACAAAGAUAUAAGGAAGACCUUGUCACAUGACGAAGACAGGACCAGGCACUGCAAUUGAUGGUCUUAGCUAUUCGUGGAGUUUGGAAUAUUCUAGCCCAGGAAUCAAGCAUGUGAGUGGAAAAAAAUGUAGUAAUAGAUUUGAAGGGAAACUGAGCAAGUAUCAGUGAACAGUAUAUUGGUAAUUAGUGAAGCUGAGUGAUCUUGAUAUUUCAAUCUGCCUGUGUGUCUUUCUGUCUGGGGAUCUUUCUGUUUGCCUCCGUCUUUCUGUCUCUUUUCUUGUCUCC
RNAcentral lists this small RNA (1897 nucleotides) under Rattus norvegicus (Norway rat). Its description in RNAcentral is "uncharacterized LOC108349236". The record is from RNAcentral. Lineage: Eukaryota; Metazoa; Chordata; Mammalia; Rodentia; Muridae.